AGAGAUGCAUUGGGCUUAAAGCGUGCGCAGGCGGUUUGUAAGACAGAGGUGAAAUCCCCGGGCUCAACCUGGGAACUGCCUUUGUGACUGCAAGGCUGGAGUGCGGCAGAGGGGGAUGGAAUUCCGCGUGUAGCAGUGAAAUGCGUAGAUAUGCGGAGGAACACCGAUGGCGAAGGCAAUCCCCUGGGCCUGCACUGACGCUCAUGCACGAAAGCGUGGGGAGCAAACA
This 229-nucleotide ribosomal RNA is filed under the name uncultured Alicycliphilus sp. RNAcentral's name for it is "partial 16S ribosomal RNA". It matches the Rfam family "Bacterial small subunit ribosomal RNA", at positions 548 to 774 of the family's 1533-position model. The record is from RNAcentral. Lineage: Bacteria; Pseudomonadati; Pseudomonadota; Betaproteobacteria; Burkholderiales; Comamonadaceae.